GGGGUUGUAGCUCAGUGGCAGGGUGCUUGCCUGGCAUGCGUGAGGCACUGGGUUCGAUUUCCAGCACCA
Molecule: transfer RNA, 69 nt
Filed under: Ictidomys tridecemlineatus (thirteen-lined ground squirrel)
Lineage: Eukaryota; Metazoa; Chordata; Mammalia; Rodentia; Sciuridae
Description: Spermophilus tridecemlineatus (thirteen-lined ground squirrel) tRNA
Rfam family: tRNA
About the family: Transfer RNA (tRNA) molecules are approximately 80 nucleotides in length.
Source: Rfam by way of RNAcentral